CCUGACUGCUAUCGGAUUGAUACUAAGCCAUGCGAGUCUUUGCAGUAAUGCAAGGCGGACGGCUCAGUAACACGUAGUCAACUUACCCUAUGGACGAGGAUAAUCUCGGGAAACUGAGCAUAAUACUCGAUAGAUCAUAAUGCCUGGAACGGUUUAUGGUUGAAAUGAUUCGUCGCCAUAGGAUAGGACCGCGGCCUAUCAGCUUGUUGGUGAGGUAAUGGCCCACCAAGGCGAUUACAGGUACGGGCUCUGAGAGGAGAAGCCCGGAGAUGGGUACUGAGACAAGGACCCAGGCCCUAUGGGGCGCAGCAGGCGAGAAAACUUUGCAAUGUGCGAAAGCACGACAAGGUUAAUCCGAGUGAUUUCUGCUAAAGAAAUCUUUUGCAAGUCAUAAAACCACUAGUGAAUAAGGGGUGGGCAAGUUCUGGUGUCAGCCGCCGCGGUAAAACCAGCACCUCAAGUGGUCAGGAGGAUUAUUGGGCCUAAAGCAUCCGUAGCCGGCUCUGUAAGUUUUCGGUUAAAUCCAUGUGCUCAACGCAUGGGCUGUCGAAAAUACUGCAUAGCUAGGGAGUGGGAGAGGUAGACGGUACUCGGUAGGAAGGGGUAAAAUCCUUUGAUCUAUCGAUGACCACCUGUGGCGAAGGCGGUCUACCAGAACACGUUCGACGGUGAGGGAUGAAAGCUGGGGGAGCAAACCGGAUUAGAUACCCGGGUAGUCCCAGCUGUAAACGAUGCAGACUCGAUGAUGCAUUGGCAUAUAGCCAUUGCAGUGUCGCAGGGAAGCCGUUAAGUCUGCCGCCUGGGAAGUACGUACGCAAGUAUGAAACUUAAAGGAAUUGGCGGGGGAGCACCACAAGGGGUGAAGCCUGCGGUUC
RNAcentral lists this ribosomal RNA (875 nucleotides) under uncultured archaeon. RNAcentral's name for it is "bacterial SSU rRNA". It matches the Rfam family "Archaeal small subunit ribosomal RNA", at positions 21 to 903 of the family's 1478-position model. The record is from RNAcentral.